UACGGCUAUAGCUUUCACGGCCUUCCAGCGUGAGAACCUUCCACAGAGCAACAAGUGUCAGAGCUCUCGGGCCCCGUGACUUUAGGAUCCUUAGCCCCUUAUAACGUCUAAUACGAUAACGCUUCCUACACUGUUAUAGCUGUUAUUAACGGUUGCUAUGACCGAGUUUUUUGACAUUUUAAGACUUGGUAGCCGUCUGGACCUUUUCUGGUGAACAGGGUCCACAGUUUCUCCUCUUCAGCUCUUCACAGCUUCAUUGUCUUUGUUGUGUCUCCUUCUAGCCCCGGAAGCUCGCUGCAGCUUCCCAGGUAUUCUCUCACUGUUUCUCUUGUCACUGACGCUGCUACUUCCGCUUCAUCGCCACGGUCGCACUGCCGUUUCCACCUGUGUUAUCUAUCAGUUUAAGCUCAUCUAGUGAGGAGGAAAGUAAAAAGUAGACAAGAAAAGGUCACUCAAGAGGAGGGCAUCUCUCAGCUGGCUUACAAAGGAGUCAAACCUCUUUUUUAUACAGCUAGGAAGAGGAUGCACCAAUGAUGGCAGGCUUCCAUGGGAAUGAAUUGUACCAAUCCCAGGCCUUUUGCUGGAAGCAUCCCUGGGUGAAAAUAUUUGCAGAGUAAGAGUCACUUUUUAAUACACUGACACUUGCAACGCCAAAAAUCAAGUGUGUGCUACUUGAAAUAGUCAUGCCUUGAACAGUGCCUUUUAGAAGCCAGAUCAGGGUUUCAGUGGCAGGCAGCUAUGGUUGCCGUGUAGCUUCUUCAAAGCUUCUGUAGCAUGUCCAAGUUAGCCAAUGCAGGCACAAGUAGUCUAGCUGCUGAUACAUCUAUCAGUGCAGCAAGGGCACCAAGAGCUAAGAGCUGUCCGGAAGGAUACAUCUUGUGGCUUUUGUUUUUUGCUUAAAAAGAAAACAAAAAUGAAACAUUGUGAAAUUGAAGAAUUCCUAAGAAUUAUGCUUCCAGCUGCUAAAACCAAGACACUUCAUGCUUUCUCGGAUCCGUGGGACAUGGAGCGUAGGCCUGGAUAAUCUAAGCUGUAUGAAUUUCUGGAAGAGACAACCGAGUACCAGAAGGCUAGUGAGCAUCUCUACCAUGGAGUGCCACCUUGAGAUGCUUAAAGUUUAGGAACAUUAUUGCCAAGUCCUAUAAUCCUUAGAACCUAGCCUAGCAGGGAAGAGAACAUGGAAGAAUGGAUUGCCGUUGCUGGGGAGAGUUUCUAUCAUGCAACUCACUUUUCCUGCUUGAACUAGCCUACAUUAUGGGCAAAUUGCAAUGAAAGGUCAUACGGUUUCACCUUUCUAAUCAAGGUGAGAAGAUGGCAUUUCAGUAUCCAUGAAGAGCAGUGAUUGGGAGGCUGCUGAGUGUGCAGUAGGUACCCCAAAGAGACACUCUGAUGAUGCCGCCUUUGCAUAGCAGUCAUAGUGAAACACAGCAAAUAAAAGA
Non-coding RNA from Myodes glareolus (Bank vole), 1439 nucleotides. The record is from RefSeq and is a predicted model, not a curated record. Lineage: Eukaryota; Metazoa; Chordata; Mammalia; Rodentia; Cricetidae.